Paramisgurnus dabryanus is the source of this 465-nucleotide long non-coding RNA. RefSeq lists it as uncharacterized. NCBI's taxonomy places the organism in Eukaryota, Metazoa, Chordata, Actinopteri, Cypriniformes, Cobitidae. The record is from RefSeq and is a predicted model, not a curated record.
GGCUAAAACUACACAUAAGCAAAGUAGCACAGCAGGUGGAUUUUUACAAGCGUGUUUCCCUCCUACAAGAGCGUUGAUGCAGAUAACAAGAAAACAAUAUUGAACACCAACAUCACUUCUGUCCGUUCAUAUCUUCAUGAUGUCCCUGACAGUGUCUCAGGGUGAAGAUGAGACUGUUUUUACAGUCACUUUAAAUCCCAGAAGCAAAUGGCACAUUUGGCUACAAAUUCUAGGUGCUUUAUGGGACUGUAUAGUAUGGACUGUGUCUCCGGAUAUGAAAGAAAAUGAAUCUGACAUCCAGACAACUUUUAGAAUUGUAUUAUUUGCAGUCAUAAAUUUGACAUUGGCUGGCUUUGGCUUUGCCUUCUUCUUAUUUGUUACACUUUGCCUGGCGAAGUUGGUAAGACUUUUAACUUAUUUUUGUUGCACUAAAUCACUUAUAUGUAAAAUGAAAACACUAAUUUG